This 1469-nucleotide ribosomal RNA is filed under the name uncultured Bordetella sp. RNAcentral's name for it is "partial 16S-23S ribosomal RNA intergenic spacer". It matches the Rfam family "Bacterial small subunit ribosomal RNA". Lineage: Bacteria; Pseudomonadati; Pseudomonadota; Betaproteobacteria; Burkholderiales; Alcaligenaceae. The record is from RNAcentral.
GGUUGAUUAUGGCUCAGAUUGAACGCUGGCUGGAUGCUUUACACAUGCAAGUCGAACGGCAGCACGGACUUCGGUCUGGUGGCGAGUGGCGAACGGGUGGGUAAUGUAUCGGAACGUGCCUAGUAGCGGGGGAUAACUACGCGAAAGCGUAGCUAAUACCACAUACGCCCUUCGGGGAAAGCGGGGGACCUUCGGGCCUCACUUAUUAGAGCGGCCGAUAUCGGAUUAGCUAGUUGGUGGGGUAACGGCUCUGGGCGACGAUCCGUAGCUGGUUUGAGAGGACGACCAGCCACACUGGGACUGAGACACGGCCCAGACUCCUACGGGAGGCAGCAGUGGGGAAUUUUGGACAAUAAAGGAAACCCUGAUCAGCCAUCCCGCGUGUGCGAUGAAGGCCUUCGGGUUGUAAAGCACUUUUGGCAGGGAGAGAAACGGCACGGGAUAAUACCCGAUGCAACUGACAGUACCUGCAGAAUAAGCACCGGCUAACUACGUGCCAGCAGCCGCGGUAAUACGUAGGGUGCAAGCGUUAAUCGGAAUUACUGGGCGUAAAGCGUGCAGGCGGUUCGGAAAGAAGAUGUGAAAUCCCAGGCUUAACUUUGGAACUGCAUUUUUAACUACCGAGCUAGAGUGUGUCAGAGGGAGGUGGAAUUCCGCGUGUAGCAGUGAAAUGCGUAGAUAUGCGGAGGAACACCGAUGGCGAAGGCAGCCUCCUGGGACAACAUGACGCUCAUGCACGAAAGCAUUAAGGAGCAAACAGGAUUAGAUACCCUGGUAGUCGCCUAAACGAUGUCAACAGCUGUUGGGGCCUUCGGGCCUUGGUAGCGCAGCUAACGCGUGAAGUUGACCGCCUGGGAGUACGGUCGCAAGAUUAAAACUCAAAAUUGACGGGGACACACAAGCAGUGGAUGAUGUGGAUUAAUUCGAUGCAACGCGAAAAACCUUACCUACCCUUGACAUGUCUGGAAUCCCGAAGAGAUUUGGGAGUGCUCGCAAGAGAACCGGAACACAGGUGCUGCAUGGCUGUCGUCAGCUCGUGUCGUGAGAUGUUGGGUUAAAGUCCGCAACGAGCGCAACCCUUGUCAUUAGUUGCUACGAAAGGGCACUCUAAUGAGACUGCCGGUGACAAACCAGCGGAGGAAGGUGAAAGGAUGACGUCAGAGUCCUCAUGGCCCUUAUGGGUAGGGCUUCACACGUCAUACAAUGGUCGGGACAUGAGGGUCGCCAACCGCGAGGGAGCCGUCCCAGAAACCCGAUCGUAGUCCGGAUCGCAGUCUGCAACUCGACUGCGUGAAGUCGGAAUCGCUAGUAAUCGCGGAUCAGCAUGUCGCGGUGAAUACGUUCCCGGGUCUUGUACACACCGCCCGUCACACCAUGGGAGUGGGUUUUACAGAAGUAGUUAGCCUAACCGUAAGGAGGGCGAUUACCACGGUAGGAUUCAUGACUGGGGUGAAGUCGUAACAAGGUAG